This 439-nucleotide ribosomal RNA is filed under the name uncultured bacterium. RNAcentral describes it as "partial 16S ribosomal RNA". It matches the Rfam family "Bacterial small subunit ribosomal RNA", at positions 339 to 795 of the family's 1533-position model. The record is from RNAcentral.
CUACGGGAGGCAGCAGUGGGGAAUUUUGCGCAAUGGGGGAAACCCUGACGCAGCAAUACCGCGUGAGUGAAGAAGGCCUUUGGGUCGUAAAGCUCUUUUCUUGGGGAAGAUAGUGACGGUACCCAAGGAAUAAGCACCGGCUAACUCCGUGCCAGCAGCCGCGGUAAUACGGAGGGUGCAAGCGUUGUUCGGAUUUACUGGGCGUAAAGGGCACGUAGGCGGCACAGCAAGUUAAGGGUGAAAUCCCGGGGCUCAACUCCGGAACUGCUCUUAAAACUGCUGAGCUAGAGAUAGUCAGAGGCGGGUGGAAUUCCAGGUGUAGAGGUGAAAUUCGUAGAUAUCUGGAGGAACACCGGUGGCGAAGGCGGCCCGCUGGGGCUAUUCUGACGCUAAGGUGCGAAAGCGUGGGGAGCAAACGGGAUUAGAUACCCCCGUAGUC